AUCAUUAACGAGUUAGGGUCCCUCGCGGCCCGACCUCCCAACCCUUUGUCUACCUGACCACUGUUGCUUCGGCGAGCCCGUCUGUAAUGGACCGCCGGGGGGUACCUUGAUCGGCCCUCUGGUCCGCGCUCGUCGAUAGCCAAACUUUUAAAAUCUUAACCAAACGUGUCUCAAUCUAAGUAUUAUUUGUUAAAUAAAAGCAAAACUUUCAACAACGGAUCUCUUGGUUCUGGCAUCGAUGAAGAACGCAGCGAAAUGCGAUAAGUAAUGCGAAUUGCAGAAUUUCAGUGAGUCAUCGAAUCUUUGAACGCACAUUGCGCCCUUUGGUAUUCCGAAGGGCAUGCCUGUUCGAGCGUCAUUAUCACCCCUCAAGCCCCCGGCUUGGUGUUGGACGGUUUGGUGGAGGCCCCCUCGCGGGGCCACCGCCCCUCCCAAAGACAAUGACGGCGGCCUCGUUGGACCCCCGUACACUGAGUUCUUCACGGGACACGUAUCGGAGACCUUCUUAUACGGGACACGGUCUGCCUCCCCUCAGGGAGAAUCUUUCUAAGGUGACCUCGG
This 561-nucleotide ribosomal RNA is filed under the name Exophiala pisciphila. Its description in RNAcentral is "eukaryotic LSU rRNA". The stretch from base 204 to 358 matches the Rfam family "5.8S ribosomal RNA". Lineage: Eukaryota; Fungi; Ascomycota; Eurotiomycetes; Chaetothyriales; Herpotrichiellaceae. The record is from RNAcentral.